GGAUAAGCGCUGAAAGCAUCUAAGCACGAAGCCCACCGCAAGACUAGGUCUCCCCUAUGGGUCGUUCAAGACGAGGACGUUGAUAGGCGGCAGGUGUACGCAUGGUAACAUGUUCAGCCGAGCCGUACUAAUUACCCAUAUGGCUUAUUCCU
This 152-nucleotide ribosomal RNA is filed under the name Bacteroidota bacterium. RNAcentral's name for it is "Bacteroidetes bacterium partial 23S ribosomal RNA". It matches the Rfam family "Bacterial large subunit ribosomal RNA", at positions 2762 to 2925 of the family's 2925-position model. The record is from RNAcentral. Lineage: Bacteria; Pseudomonadati; Bacteroidota.